Molecule: ribosomal RNA, 1528 nt
Filed under: Rhinebothriidea gen. 3 sp. 6 Healy et al. (2009)
Lineage: Eukaryota; Metazoa; Platyhelminthes; Cestoda; Rhinebothriidea; Escherbothriidae
Description: eukaryotic LSU rRNA
Rfam family: Eukaryotic large subunit ribosomal RNA
Source: RNAcentral
UAUCACUAAGCGGAGGAAAAGAAACUAACCAGGAUUCCCCUAGUAACGGCGAGUGAAGAGGGAAAAGCCCAGCACCGAAGCCUGUGGCAGUUUUGCUACUAGGCAAUGUGGUGUUUGGGUCGACUGGCGGGAUUGCCACUCCACUCGAAGUCCAGCAUUGAGUAUGGUGACCUGGAUUUUGGCCCAGAGAGGGUGAAAGGCCCGUGCGGGUGGAGGUUCAGACAUGUGAGGCAAUUCACUAGGUCGGCCUUAGAGUCGGGUUGUUUGAGAAUGCAGCCCAAAGUGGGUGGUAAACUCCAUCCAAGGCUAAAUACUUACACGAGUCCGAUAGCAAACAAGUACCGUGAGGGAAAGUUGAAAAGUACUUUGAAGAGAGAGUAAACAGUACGUGAAGCCGCAUGCAGGUAAACGGGUGGCGUCAAGCUGCAAGCCGAGGGAAUUCAGUCGAUUAGCGUGUAUAUGCGCCUGGCGCAUGGAACAGUCGGAGUGAGUCCGGGUAGUCCACCGGUAGAUGGUGGGUUCCGCCGCAAGGUGGGAUGCGUGUACCGGGUGUGUGCCGGAGCGUGCUACUCGUCUGCUGGACUGAGCUAGUCGGUGCACUUUCUCUCAAUGGCUGGCACCACGACCGGUGGUACUGCCAGUCUGCUGUGGUCAAGUCGUAUUCGGUGGCAUUCGUGUUUACUGGGUGCGAUGACGGGCAAAUUCGGUAGACGGCGUCGGUAUUGGCCUCGGCCUGUGUCGGCGUGAUAUCGGCUAUCGGUUGUCUUAACGGGCUACCCGGUGGUGUUGAAGCCGCCGCAUUUGGGUAGUCUGGUCGACCAUGGUGGUAUGAAUAACUGUGCAGGGCACCGGAGUAUUCGGCCUCAAUUGUGGUUGGCAUGCAUGCUUCAAGUGUGCAUAUGUGAGUGGCGGCGUGGCCUGCCUGUGUUGAGCGUGAUCGUCGUGUUGCCUGCGCAAAGUGGGCCCGGCGGUGGCUUGAUGUGGGUCGGUGUUGCGUGCGUGGCUUGCAGUGCUGAUUAUGGUGGGCCUUAUAGUCUGUGGUGUAGUGGUAGACGAGCUACCCGACCCGUCUUGAAACACGGACCAAGGAGUUUAACGUGUGUGCAAGUCAAUGGGUCCUACGAAACCCAAAGGCGAAGUGAAAGUAAAGCCUCGGCUUGUUCGGGGUGAGGUGAGAUCCUGCUGUUACUCGCAUCCGCGCCUUGUGUGUUGUUGCUAGCACCAGGCACAAAGAGCAGUGGGCGCAUCACCGGCCCGUCCCAUGAUGUGGCCAUUGGAAUAGGGCUGUUGUUGGCUUUCGGGUUGGCGGCAGUUCCUCCAGUGCGUCAUCGGGGCGGAGCAUGAGCACACAUGUUGAGACCCGAAAGAUGGUGAACUAUGCUUGCGUAGGUUGAAGCCAGAGGAAACUCUGGUGGAGGACCGCAGCGAUUCUGACGUGCAAAUCGAUCGUCAAACGUGAGUAUAGGGGCGAAAGACUAAUCGAACCAUCUAGUAGCUGGUUCCCUCCGAAGUUUCCCUCAGGAUAGCA